GACGAACGCUGGCGGCGUGCUUAACACAUGCAAGUCGAACGGAAAGGCCCUGCUUUUGUUGGGUUCUCGAUUGGCGAACGCGUGAGUAACACGUGAGUAACCUGCCCUUGACUUUGUGAUAACUUCAGGAAACUGGGGCUAAUACCGCAUAGGAGCUCCUGCUGCAUGGUGGGGGUUGGAAAGUUUCGGCGGUUGGGGAUGGACUCGCGGCUUAUCAGCUUGUUUGUGGGGUAGUGGCUUACCAAGGCUUUGACGGGUAGCCGGCCUGAGAGGGUGACCGGCCACAUUGGGACUGAGAUACGGCACAGACUCCGACGGGAGGCAGCAGUGGGGAAUAUUGCCGAAUGGGCGGAAGCCUGAUGCAGAAACGCCGCGUGCGGGAUAACGGCCUUCGGGUUGUAAACCGAUUUCGCAUGUGACGAAGAGGGAGUGACGGUAAUGGGUAAAGAAGCAACGGCUAACUACGUG
RNAcentral lists this ribosomal RNA (468 nucleotides) under uncultured bacterium. Its description in RNAcentral is "partial 16S ribosomal RNA". It matches the Rfam family "Bacterial small subunit ribosomal RNA", at positions 28 to 507 of the family's 1533-position model. The record is from RNAcentral.